AUGGGAUUUUUGCUCCUUGUAAUUUUCGCUGUAGCAGCUUUGGAAGGUGUCCGGUCCCAGGUGCAGCUGGUGGAGUCCGGAGGGGAUGUGAAAAAGCCCGGAGACUCUCUCCGCCUCUCCUGCAAAGCCUCCGGGUUCACCUUCAGCGAUUACUACAUGAACUGGGUCCGACAGGCUCCUGGCAAGGGACUAGAAUGGGUCGCCCAAAUUCAAAUCACCUCUACAUACUACGCUGAUUCAGUGAAAGGCCGGUUCACCAUCUCCCGGGAUAAUCCCAAGAGUGAGCUGUAUCUGCAAAUGACCGGCCUGAAGCCCGAGGACACCGCCCGCUAUUAC
Molecule: non-coding RNA, 336 nt
Organism: Mauremys mutica (yellowpond turtle)
Lineage: Eukaryota; Metazoa; Chordata; Testudines; Geoemydidae
Source: the annotation of a RefSeq genome assembly